This 253-nucleotide ribosomal RNA is filed under the name uncultured bacterium. RNAcentral describes it as "partial 16S ribosomal RNA". It matches the Rfam family "Bacterial small subunit ribosomal RNA", at positions 524 to 776 of the family's 1533-position model. The record is from RNAcentral.
UACGUAGGUGGCAAGCGUUGUCCGGAAUUAUUGGGCGUAAAGAGCUCGUAGGCGGUGUGUCACGUCGGCCGUGAAAACCUGCAGCUUAACUGUGGGCGUGCGGGCGAUACGGGCAGACUGGAGUACUGCAGGGGAGACUGGAAUUCCUGGUGUAGCGGUGGAAUGCGCAGAUAUCAGGAGGAACACCGGUGGCGAAGGCGGGUCUCUGGGCAGUAACUGACGCUGAGGAGCGAAAGCGUGGGGAGCGAACAGG